AACGAACGCUGGCGGCAUGCCUAACACAUGCAAGUCGAACGAGACCUUCGGGUCUAGUGGCGCACGGGUGAGUAACGCGUGGGAACCUGCCCUUAGGUUCGGAAUAACUCCCCGAAAGGGGUGCUAAUACCGGAUAAUGUCUUCGGACCAAAGAUUUAUCGCCUUUGGAUGGGCCCGCGUUGGAUUAGCUAGUUGGUAGGGUAAAAGCCUACCAAGGCGACGAUCCAUAGCUGGUCUGAGAGGAUGAUCAGCCACACUGGGACUGAGACACGGCCCAGACUCCUACGGGAGGUAGCAGUGGGGAAUAUUGGACAAUGGGCGAAAGCCUGAUCCAGCAAUGCCGCGUGAGUGAUGAAGGCCUUAGGGUUGUAAAGCUCUUUUACCCGGGAUGAUAAUGACAGUACCGGGAGAAUAAGCUCCGGCUAACUCCGUG
This 433-nucleotide ribosomal RNA is filed under the name uncultured bacterium. RNAcentral's name for it is "partial 16S ribosomal RNA". It matches the Rfam family "Bacterial small subunit ribosomal RNA", at positions 29 to 507 of the family's 1533-position model. The record is from RNAcentral.